Molecule: long non-coding RNA, 683 nt
Filed under: Lathyrus oleraceus (garden pea)
Lineage: Eukaryota; Viridiplantae; Streptophyta; Magnoliopsida; Fabales; Fabaceae
Description: Pisum sativum (pea) long non-coding RNA (PSAT_LNC029712)
Source: RNAcentral
UAUGAGUGAUUCCGGUUGGUGUAGGCCGCGAUUAGGGGUUUGCUGAAGGUGUUGACGGUGAGGUCAUGAUUUCAGGUGGCGGUGGAAUCGAUUGUGGAGAUGGAAGAAGGCGAAGGGUUUGAAUCACGGUGAGAGAGGGUUUGGUGGUGGCGAUUCACGGUGAGGUAAGCGAUUUACACGGAGGUUGAGCGGAGAUGGGAGGACGCGUUAGGUUGUGUUGCGAUGAAGAUGAUGAAGGGUUUGAGGGUUACCGUUGGUGGUGGCGAAAGGGAUUUUGACGGUGGAUUCCGUGGUUGUGUUGGUGGAAGAGGAGGAUGGAGGGUUUUGUGAGGGAGAAAGAGAGUGAGGGAUUUUGAGAGAGGCGGAGGGUUUUGUAAGGGUUUCUGUGAAGUGGAGUGUGAGCGAGAGAGGAGAGGGAAAGGUGAAGUGUGUCAUUUGUGGGUGAGUGAUUUGUGAGGAUCCGCAAUCCGAGAGAGUGAAGGGUCGGUGAAAUAGUGAGGUGUCCAUCUGAGUGGAAUUCUGUUUUGAGUGGAUUGUGGGUAGGCACGUGGAGCGUGUGAGGAUUAUACCAGCAGCUUAUGAGUGAAUUUUUUUGUUUUUAGUGGAUUGGGGGAUCCAAUGUAAGAAAUAUACAUUUUCCAUAAUUGUUAUUUAAAUAAUAAAUCAUAAAAACCUUAGUUAAU